GAUGAACGCUGGCGGCGUGCCUAAUACAUGCGAGUCGAGCGAACGGACGAGAAGCUUGCUUCUCUGAUGUUAGCGGCGGACGGGUGAGUAGCACGUGGAUAACCUACCUAUAAGACUGGGAUAACUUCGGGAAACCGGAGCUAAUACCGGAUAAUAUUUUGAACCGCAUGGUUCAAAAGUGAAAGACGGUCUUGCUGUCACUUAUAGAUGGAUCCGCGCUGCAUUAGCUAGUUGGUGAGGUAACGGCUUACCAAGGCAACGAUGCAUAGCCGACCUGAGAGGGUGAUCGGCCACACUGGAACUGAGACACGGUCCAGACUCCUACGGGAGGCAGCAGUAGGGAAUCUUCCGCAAUGGGCGAAAGCCUGACGGAGCAACGCCGCGUGAGUGAUGAAGGUCUUCGGAUCGUAAAACUCUGUUAUUAGGGAAGAACAUAUGUGUAAGUAACUGUGCACAUCUUGACGGUACCUAAUCAGAAAGCCACGGCUAACUACGUG
This 497-nucleotide ribosomal RNA is filed under the name uncultured bacterium. RNAcentral's name for it is "partial 16S ribosomal RNA". It matches the Rfam family "Bacterial small subunit ribosomal RNA", at positions 28 to 507 of the family's 1533-position model. The record is from RNAcentral.